GGCUGGCUGGCUCAGUUAGUAGAGCAUAUGACUUUUGAUCUUGGGGUCUUGGGUUCAAGCCCAUGUUGGGUG
RNAcentral lists this transfer RNA (72 nucleotides) under Canis lupus familiaris (dog). It matches the Rfam family "tRNA". From Rfam's summary of the family: Transfer RNA (tRNA) molecules are approximately 80 nucleotides in length. RNAcentral also lists the same sequence under 1 other name. The record is from Rfam by way of RNAcentral. Lineage: Eukaryota; Metazoa; Chordata; Mammalia; Carnivora; Canidae.